GGGCUUUCCUUUGUGCUUGAUCUAACCAUGUGGUGGAACGAUAGAAACAGAACAUGGUUCUGUCAAGCACCGCGGAAAGCUC
This 82-nucleotide microRNA precursor is filed under the name Monodelphis domestica (gray short-tailed opossum). RNAcentral describes it as "mir-218 microRNA precursor family". It matches the Rfam family "mir-218 microRNA precursor family". Rfam says of the family: The extents of the hairpin precursors are not known. In this case the mature sequence in excised from the 5'arm of the hairpin. RNAcentral also lists the same sequence under 2 other names. The record is from Rfam by way of RNAcentral. Lineage: Eukaryota; Metazoa; Chordata; Mammalia; Didelphimorphia; Didelphidae.